Molecule: ribosomal RNA, 465 nt
Filed under: Vreelandella stevensii
Lineage: Bacteria; Pseudomonadati; Pseudomonadota; Gammaproteobacteria; Oceanospirillales; Halomonadaceae
Description: partial 16S ribosomal RNA
Rfam family: Bacterial small subunit ribosomal RNA
Source: RNAcentral
CCUACGGGGGGCAUCAGUGGGGAAUAUUGGACAAUGGGCGAAAGCCUGAUCCAGCCAUGCCGCGUGUGUGAAGAAGGCCUUCGGGUUGUAAAGCACUUUCAGUGGGGAAGAAAGCCUUGGGGCUAAUACCCUCGAGGAAGGACAUCACCCACAGAAGAAGCACCGGCUAACUCCGUGCCAGCAGCCGCGGUAAUACGGAGGGUGCGAGCGUUAAUCGGAAUUACUGGGCGUAAAGCGCGCGUAGGCGGUCUGAUAAGCCGGUUGUGAAAGCCCCGGGCUCAACCUGGGAACGGCAUCCGGAACUGUCAGGCUAGAGUGCAGGAGAGGAAGGUAGAAUUCCCGGUGUAGCGGUGAAAUGCGUAGAGAUCGGGAGGAAUACCAGUGGCGAAGGCGGCCUUCUGGACUGACACUGACGCUGAGGUGCGAAAGCGUGGGUAGCAAACAGGAUUAGAUACCCCAGUAGUC